AAAUCGGCUCAGGGUGAGUCGGAUCCUAAGGUGAGGCCGAAAGGCGUAAUCGAUGGACAUCAGGUUAAUAUUCCUGAACCGACAAUUACUGCGAUGGGGUGACGGAGAAGGCUAAAGCAGCGGCAGUAGUGCCGUCCAAGCUCGUAGGCGGAUCUUCCUGGCAAAUCCGGAAGGUCAUUCAACGCCGAGAAGUGAGUGCGAGUCGAACCGCAAGGUAAGACGAAGUGUUUGAUGCCCCGCUUCCAGGAAAAGCCUCUAAGCUUCAGGUAAUUGUUGUCCGUACCGUAAACCGACACUGGUGGGUGAGCAGAAAAUCUGCUAAGGCGCUUGAGAGAACUCUGGUUAAGGAACUCUGCAAAUUGAUACCGUAACUUCGGAAGAAGGUAUGCCUUUUUUGGUCACUGGACUUGCUCCAGGAAGCUGAAGAAGGCCGCAGGUAAUCGGGGGCUGCGACUGUUUACCAAAAACACAGGACUCUGCGAACACGUAAGUGGAUGUAUAGGGUCUGACGCCUGCCCGGUGCUGGAAGGUUAAUUGAUGGGGUCAGCCGCAAGGCGAAGCUCUUGAUCGAAGCCCCAGUAAGCGGCGGCCGUAACUAUAACGGUCCUAAGGUAGCGAAAUUCCUUGUCGGGUAAGUUCCGACCUGCACGAAUGGCGUAACGCUGGCCCCACUGUCUCGACCAGAGACUCAGUGAAGUUGAAAUCGCUGUGAAGAUGCGGCGUAGCUGCGGAAAGACGGAAAGACCCCGUGAACCUUUACUACAGCUUUACACUGAACUUUGAAUUUAUUUGUGUAGGAUAGGUGGGAGCCUUUGAAGCAGGGGCGCUAGCUCUUGUGGAGGCAACCUUGAAAUACCACCCUGAUAACUUCGGAGUUCUAACCUAGAUCCGUAAUCCGGAUUGGGAACACUGUAUGGUGGGUAGUUUGACUGGGGCGGUCUCCUCCCAAAGAGUAACGGAGGAGUGCAAAGGUACCCUCAGCGCGGUCGGUCAUCGCGCUUUUGAGUGCAAUGGCAUAAGGGUGCUUGACUGCGAGACGUACAUGUCGAGCAGGAACGAAAGUUGGUCAUAGUGAUCCGGUGGUUCUGUAUGGAAGGGCCAUCGCUCAACGGAUAAAAGGUACUCCGGGGAUAACAGGCUUAUUCCUCCCAAGAGUCCACAUCGACGGAGGAGUUUGGCACCUCGAUGUCGGCUCAUCACAUCCUGGGGCUGUAGCAGGUCCCAAGGGUUCGGCUGUUCGCCGAUUAAAGUGGUACGCGAGCUGGGUUCAAAACGUCGUGAGACAGUUUGGUCCCUAUCUUCCGUAGCCGUUGGAGAUUUGAGGGUGAGUUGCUCCUAGUACGAGAGGACCGGAGUGAAUGUAUCUCUGGUGUUCCGGUUGUCACGCCAGUGGCACUGCCGGGUAGCUAUAUACAGACGGGAUAACCGCUGAAAGCAUCUAAGCGGGAAGCCCCCCCCAAGACGAGAUCUCCCUGAGGACUUGAUCCUCCUAAAGGGCCCAAGAAGACUACUUGGUUGAUAGGCUGGGUGUGUACGCGUAGCAAUACGCUUAGCUAACCAGUACUAAUUGCCCGUGAGGCUUGAUC
This 1586-nucleotide ribosomal RNA is filed under the name metagenome. RNAcentral describes it as "bacterial LSU rRNA". It matches the Rfam family "Bacterial large subunit ribosomal RNA", at positions 1366 to 2925 of the family's 2925-position model. The record is from RNAcentral.